RNAcentral lists this unclassified non-coding RNA (394 nucleotides) under soil metagenome. RNAcentral describes it as "partial contains 5.8S ribosomal RNA, internal transcribed spacer 2, and large subunit ribosomal RNA". The stretch from base 1 to 122 matches the Rfam family "5.8S ribosomal RNA", at positions 35 to 154 of the family's 154-position model. The record is from RNAcentral.
GAUGAAGAACGUAGCGAAAUGCGAUACCUGGUGUGAAUUGCAGAAUCCCGCGAACCAUCGAGUCUUUGAACGCAAGUUGCGCCCGAGGCCACCCGGCCGAGGGCACGCCUGCCUGGGCGUCACGCCAAAACACGCUCCCACCCCCCCUCACCGGGGGAGCGGGACGCGGCGUCUGGCCCCCCGUGCCGCGAGGCGCGGUGGGCCGAAGAUCGGGCUGCCGGCGUACCGUGCCGGGCGCAGCGCGUGGUGGAUCUCUACUCGGCGCAGUGCACCCGGCGCGUAGCCGGCGCAGCGGCCCCUAAGGACCCAACGAACGGAGCGCGAGCCGCUCCGACCGCGACCCCAGGUCAGGCGGGACUACCCGCUGAGUUUAAGCAUAUCAAUAAGCGGAGGA